GAUGAACGCUGGCGGCGUGCCUAAUACAUGCAAGUCGAGCGAACAGAUGAGGAUCUUGCUCCUCUGACGUUAGCGGCGGACGGGUGAGUAACACGUGGAUAACCUACCUAUAAGACUGGGAUAACUUCGGGAAACCGGAGCUAAUACCGGAUAAUAUAUUGAACCGCAUGGUUCAAUAGUGAAAGACGGUUUUGCUGUCACUUAUAGAUGGACCCGCGCCGCAUUAGCUAGUUGGUAAGGUAACGGCUUACUAAGGCAACGAUGCGUAGCCGACCUGAGAGGGUGAUCGGCCACACUGGAACUGAGACACGGUCCAGACUCCUACGGGAGGCAGCAGUAGGGAAUCUUCCGCAAUGGGCGAAAGCCUGACGGAGCAACGCCGCGUGAGUGAUGAAGGUCUUCGGAUCGUAAAACUCUGUUAUUAGGGAAGAACAAAUGUGUAAGUAACUAUGCACGUCUUGACGGUACCUAAUCAGAAAGCCACGGCUAACUACGUG
RNAcentral lists this ribosomal RNA (497 nucleotides) under uncultured bacterium. RNAcentral describes it as "partial 16S ribosomal RNA". It matches the Rfam family "Bacterial small subunit ribosomal RNA", at positions 28 to 507 of the family's 1533-position model. The record is from RNAcentral.